CCUACGGGGUGCAGCAGUCGAGAAUCAUUCACAAUGGGGGAAACCCUGAUGGUGCGACGCCGCGUGGGGGAAUGAAGGUCUUCGGAUUGUAAACCCCUGUCAUGUGGGAGCAAAUUAAAAAGAUAGUACCACAAGAGGAAGAGACGGCUAACUCUGUGCCAGUAGCCGCGGUAAUACAGAGGUCUCAAGCGUUGUUCGGAAUCACUGGGCGUAAAGCGUGCGUAGGCUGUUUCGUAAGUCGUGUGUGAAAGGCGCGGGCUCAACCCGCGGACGGCACAUGAUACUGCGAGACUAGAGUAAUGGAGGGGGAAGCGGAAUUCUCGGUGUAGCAGUGAAAUGCGUAGAUAUCGAGAGGAACACUCGUGGCGAAGGCGGGUUACUGGACAUUAACUGACGCUGAGGCACGAAGGCCAGGGGAGCGAAAGGGAUUAGAUACCCUUGUAGUC
RNAcentral lists this ribosomal RNA (446 nucleotides) under uncultured bacterium. RNAcentral's name for it is "partial 16S ribosomal RNA". It matches the Rfam family "Bacterial small subunit ribosomal RNA", at positions 338 to 795 of the family's 1533-position model. The record is from RNAcentral.